UGCUUUUUUUUUAGUUACAUAGAUUGUUGUACGUAAAGCAGAACUGAUUUGAUAACUGUUAUUUUUAUUGACUGUUGACAAUUUCAAGAUGUUUUUUAAUUUUUUGAUUAUAUAACUUUUUUGUUAUCUUUAGGCCAAUUUGCACAGACUACAGCUGUAUCUACCUCUUGUGCUACACCUGUAUCUACCUCUUGUGCUACACCUGUAUCUACCUCUUGUGCUACACCUGGUAAGUUAAACAACUAUUAGCUUUUACUAUGCAAACUUUAUAAUAUGUUUAACUUUAGUUCCUUAGUCAUCUGCUGCAACUAGUAAUUUAAUAAACUAUUACAUUUAAUAUGUAUAUGCAUUUCUUGUUAUUUGCAAUAUUGAUUUUUUUUUACAACUUUGUAAUUUUAUUUUAAAAUCGUUAGUAUAAUAA
Molecule: non-coding RNA, 421 nt
Organism: Hydra vulgaris (swiftwater hydra)
Lineage: Eukaryota; Metazoa; Cnidaria; Hydrozoa; Anthoathecata; Hydridae
Source: RefSeq, a predicted model, not a curated record